CUUCUGCGGCGGUUCCACGCUCAACUUUAUAGUUCGUCUUAUUUAAAAAAAUUUUAUAAUUAGUAUUUUUAUUAUUAUGAGAUGAUAAAACAUGAAUAGUACUUUACUCGUGACUUAUGGUUUUAAUUUUUUUAAUUUUUUUUUAAAUAAGACGAACGGUCAAAGUUGGGCGCGGAAAACCAUGGCUGCACUUAUA
Non-coding RNA from Oryza glumipatula, 196 nucleotides. Lineage: Eukaryota; Viridiplantae; Streptophyta; Magnoliopsida; Poales; Poaceae. The record is from Rfam.